RNAcentral lists this ribosomal RNA (270 nucleotides) under uncultured archaeon. Its description in RNAcentral is "partial 16S ribosomal RNA". It matches the Rfam family "Archaeal small subunit ribosomal RNA", at positions 477 to 747 of the family's 1478-position model. The record is from RNAcentral.
CAGCGCCACGAGUGGUGACCACGUUUAUUGGGCCUAAAGCGUCCGUAGCCGGUUUGGCAAAUCUUUUGUGAAAUUGUGCGGCUUAACCGUACAGCGUGCAAGAGACACUACCAAACUCGAGACCGGGGGAGUCAGAAGUAUUCCAGGGGGAGCGGUAAAAUGUUAUAAUCCCUGGAGGACUACCUGUGGCGAAGGCGUCUGACCAGAACGGAUCUGACGGUGAGGGACGAAAGCUAUGGGAGCGAACCGGAUUAGAUACCCGAGUAGUCC